Molecule: ribosomal RNA, 467 nt
Filed under: uncultured bacterium
Lineage: Bacteria
Description: partial 16S ribosomal RNA
Rfam family: Bacterial small subunit ribosomal RNA
Source: RNAcentral
GACGAACGCUGGCGGCGUGCUUAACACAUGCAAGUCGAACGGAAAGGCCCUGCUUUUGUGUGGUGCUCGAGUGGCGAACGGGUGAGUAACACGUGAGUAACCUGCCUGGGACUUUGGGAUAACUUCAGGAAACUGGGGCUAAUACCGGAUAGGAACUCCUGCUGCAUGGUGGGGGUUGGAAAGUUUCGGCGGUUGGGGAUGGACUCGCGGCUUCUCAGUUUGUUGUUGGGGUAGUGGCUUACCAAGGCUUUGACGGGUAGCCGGCGGGAGAGGGUGACCGGCCACAUUGGGACUGAGAUACGGCCCAGGCGCCUACGGGAGGCAGGAGUGAGGAAUAUUGCACAAUGGGCGGAAGACUGAUGCAGCAACGCCGCGUGCGAGAUGACGGCGUUCGGGUUGUAAACCGCUUUCGCCUGUGACGAAGCGUGAGGGACGGUAAUGAGUAAAGAAGCACCGGCUAACUACGU